RNAcentral lists this ribosomal RNA (490 nucleotides) under uncultured bacterium. RNAcentral's name for it is "bacterial SSU rRNA". It matches the Rfam family "Bacterial small subunit ribosomal RNA", at positions 29 to 513 of the family's 1533-position model. The record is from RNAcentral.
AACGAACGCUGGCGGCGCGCUUAACACAUGCAAGUCGAACGAGAAGGCGUAGCAAUACGCUUGUACAGUGGCGAACGGGUGAGUAAUACGUGGGCGACCUACCCUCGAGUGGGGAAUAACCCGCCGAAAGGCGGGCUAAUGCCGCGUACGCUUCCAUCUUUAUGGAGGUGGAAGGAAAGCCGUGCCGUGGGCACGGCGCUCAAGGAUGGGCUCACGUCCUAUCAGCUUGUUGGAGGGUAACGGCCUACCAAGGCUCCGACGGGUAGCUGGUCUGAGAGGACGAUCAGCCACACUGGCACUGCGACACGGGCCAGACUCCUACGGGAGGCAGCAGUGAGGAAUAUUGCGCAAUGGGCGAAAGCCUGACGCAGCGACGCCGCGUGGGGGAUGAAGGUCUUCGGAUUGUAAACCCCUUUCGGGAGGGAAGAUGGGACGGGCGACCGUUCGGACGGUACCUCCAGAAGCAGCCACGGCUAACUUCGUGCCAGCA